AAAACGGGUGGUAAUGCCGGAUGCUCCGACUCCUCGCAUGGGGUGUCGGGAAAGAUUUCAUCGGUAUGGGAUGGGGUCGCGUCCUAUCAGGUAGUCGGCGGGGUAACGGCCCACCGAGCCUACGACGGGUAGCCGGCCUGAGAGGGCGACCGGCCACAUUGGGACUGAGAUACGGCCCAGACUCCUACGGGAGGCAGCAGUGGGGAAUAUUGCACAAUGGGCGCAAGCCUGAUGCAGCGACGCCGCGUGCGGGAUGACGGCCUUCGGGUUGUAAACCGCUUUUGAUCGGGAGCAAGCCUUCGGGUGAGUGUACCUUUCGAAUAAGCACCGGCUAACUACGUGCCAGCAGCCGCGGUAAUACGUAGGGUGCAAGCGUUAUCCGGAAUUAUUGGGCGUAAAGGGCUCGUAGGCGGUUCGUCGCGUCCGGUGUGAAAGUCCAUCGCUUAACGGUGGAUCUGCGCCGGGUACGGGCGGGCUGGAGUGCGGUAGGGGAGACUGGAAUUCCCGGUGUAACGGUGGAAUGUGUAGAUAUCGGGA
RNAcentral lists this ribosomal RNA (537 nucleotides) under Bifidobacterium pseudocatenulatum. RNAcentral describes it as "bacterial SSU rRNA". It matches the Rfam family "Bacterial small subunit ribosomal RNA", at positions 153 to 702 of the family's 1533-position model. Lineage: Bacteria; Bacillati; Actinomycetota; Actinomycetes; Bifidobacteriales; Bifidobacteriaceae. The record is from RNAcentral.